RNAcentral lists this ribosomal RNA (253 nucleotides) under uncultured bacterium. Its description in RNAcentral is "partial 16S ribosomal RNA". It matches the Rfam family "Bacterial small subunit ribosomal RNA", at positions 524 to 776 of the family's 1533-position model. The record is from RNAcentral.
UACGUAGGGUGCAAGCGUUGUCCGGAAUUAUUGGGCGUAAAGAGCUCGUAGGCGGUCUGUCGCGUCUGCUGUGAAAACCUGGGGCUUAACCCCGGGCCUGCAGUGGGUACGGGCAGACUAGAGUGUGGUAGGGGAGACUGGAAUUCCUGGUGUAGCGGUGGAAUGCGCAGAUAUCAGGAGGAACACCGGUGGCGAAGGCGGGUCUCUGGGCAGUAACUGACGCUGAGGAGCGAAAGCGUGGGGAGCGAACAGG